CCUUCUUGCACGUCGCCCUCUCCCAGCUCGUCCUCAACCGCUGCGUCCCCGCGCCGCCAAGUCCGUCGCCGGAGCUCCUCGACUUCGCGUCUGCACCACCUCAAGCCCCGCCGUCGGCCUCGCCGUCCGCCGCCACAAGUUCUGCACGACGCCGAGCCAGCACCCACGUCCUCCUGUGUAGCGCCUUGAUCACCACCAGAUCGCUCUUAGGCUGCCUGCCUCGCUCCUCCAGCUGAAUGUCUUUCUUAAGCGUGUGCGCGUGCCCGCAAGCUGUUCGACAGCAGCUGCAGUCCAAGUCCACGCGCGCCUGGCCGCCUUGUACCUGUCGCGUUCCAUGCUCAGCAGCAGCAGCUACCAUUGACAUCAGACACGCUCCUAUUCAUCCAUCCACCUGCCUGCUUGCUUGCUUAGCUCCACACGCAUGCAACCAUCCAGCAGCCAUCCUGCUUAGCUUAGCUAGCUAAUACCAUUCUGUCACCAUGUCUGUGUAGUUUUCCGAUCUGUCCGACCGUGUUGCCGCUUAAGAUCUUUUUCCCGGCGUCCACUACUUCGACUAUGGGGACGUCAAGAUGGUGGAGACAUGACUACUUCCGCGACCAGCGCCUCCCUGUGUGUUCACCAUAGCUUCAAGGCUCAAACUUUGUUCAGGUUCGUCAGUUGUGGUACACUGUCCAGAACUGCUUCAUUUUGGCAGCGGGUCUCCUUCUGCUCAACAUCUACGUGGUAGCCAUCUGAUCCCACGCUUGGAGAAGUUCAGUCUACACGUGUGUCGUCAAUCUAAAUCAGCAUCGUCAAAGCAGCCGAGUGGCUUAAGGUCUUGAUCUCUUCCCUGAUAUUAUGGCCAGAGAUGUUUCAGUUUGCGUGGGAGCCUUUCCAAAAUCAGCACCAGCAAGCAGUCUAGUUGUUUUGUUUCCUCUCUCUCCAAACGAUACUAUACUCAAUUCCAGGGAUGCAAUUUAACAGUUGCCGCUUCAGUCAGCGAUUUGCUUCUUCACGGAUAGGCCGUCGAGUUGGUACGAGCUACGACAAGUUCUCCGGAUGUUCCUCGGCAAGCUUUAACAGGCAAGCAUUUCCCUUAUACUCCUGCCCCUGCAGAAGUCGCUCACCUAUUUUAUUUUGCCUUCUCCCUCAUGCUAUCCUUAAGUUGCGUUCUUGUCACGUGUCCCUUCCACUUGUUACCUGAAGCAGCCCAUAUUGCCUCCACCAACCACCUAUGGCUAUUGUUUGGUAUCAGGUCUGCCUUGCGAGUUGUAGUGCAUGCUAGUGCUGUUAUAUCUCGUUACCGUUAUCGCUAUCUUAUCGGUUAUCUGUUGGGAAUCAUGACACAUGCUACGUGGUUAUAUCUGUUGAGGGAAUCAUGGUUACUUGUUAAUAAUUGUUAAGCGGAGGCAUCGGUGGGUCAGCUGAUCGUUUUGUGACGGCUCACUUGUGUUUCCUAAAUAUCUUAGGACCCCGAGUUCUUGUUAUCUGUUCCGAGACUGAGCGCUCUAACCACACGUGGGUAUGCUUCUGGGUCUCCCCUCGACCACUGCCGGAAUCUACAGCUUUGUCCAGUGGCCACAACUAGUUUCGUAAUGUUUUACCAUUUGUUGUUGCGUGCAUGCCAGCCUGUUACUUAUUUACUUUGGGAAGCCCCUGGGUGCCUUGUAUCCCUUGUUUCUGGUAUGCACGCAUAGGUCGCGGAGCCGCUGCGAAGUGGUUUAUCGCCCAGUGUGUGUUUAAACCACCUAGUACGCUGUCGCAAACAGCUAGGUCCGCUUCGGAGAUACGGCCGGACUUCGAUACGGGUUCAACUUAGUUAGGUGGCUUCCUGGACAUUGUUGUCGUGAAGGAGAGUGCGAGUCGUGAUAUCCACCUGUCGCAAGUGGGUUGAUCGUGCGUGUGGGCACAUUUGGGCACCCCUGCAGGGUUACAUCUUAUCGAUAAGUCGUGUCCGCGGUUAUGGACGACUUGGAGCUGUAUGACUCGACCAUAGACAACUUACACCUGUUGUUUCAAUACUAAUAACUUGCGUAGUAAGUUAGCACAACUCUAAUAAUAAAUGGUUAAAACUUGUCAAUCGUGUGAGUGCCUUUGUAAGUACUUCCUUGCGAGGGGGGAACGCAUCGGCUGUGUUAUGUUUGCAGAGUAUAGAACUGUUAGUUUAUGCGCUCUCUCACCCUCUCUGAUAGACGACUGUUGUAGAGUGUCUCUAUAGGUUUUUAGUGCUUGCGCGCUGCCGCUUAACCCCACCAUAUUGCCUAUGACGUUCCUCUUGCGUCCUCUAAGUCCCCUGCGUGCCUCAAGUACAAAGGACGACUGGUUGACGAAUGCUUAUACGUCUUGAAGUCUUGUUAAGUACGAACCCGUACUUAUUGCUGCUUCUACGGGAUAUAACCGGGCAGGUAUGAAGAUAUGCUCGAUGAAGAUGACGUUAGCAAGGUUACCCGUCCGGCUUGGCCUGGGCAGGGUUAUGGACGCCACUGGUUAUCUUCAGGACUCUUAGUCCAAAUUUGUAUUUUGUCCGUACUCGGAUGUAUUCGCUCUUCUGUAUGAUUUGGAUCUUUGUAUGUAUAUUUGUAUCUUGACUCGUUGGAGUCGUUGUUGUAAUAUAUAUGUCUCUUGUGGGCUCUAUUGUAAUCCUGUUGUAAUGUUA
Molecule: non-coding RNA, 2635 nt
Organism: Lolium perenne
Lineage: Eukaryota; Viridiplantae; Streptophyta; Magnoliopsida; Poales; Poaceae
Source: RefSeq, a predicted model, not a curated record